GGAAAUUUUGAUGGAUAGGGGGUUGUGAGUAACCGGUUUGACAAUGUUGUCAAGGGUUAGAUGUUGAACCUUCUAGUGUUUAAGUUUCCUAGUGUGGGUCGUAUAGGUAUAUAUCCUCGGCGAUGAACUCAAAUCCAACCGAUCUGUACUAAACCAUAUAAUUACGACUUGGUUUUUCUUCGGUUGGGAUCACAGCGUUAGUUAAGACAUGGUCUUGUCGGUGCUUCCAUUUUCGACACACAGAUCUGGCGAAGCUUUACCAUGGGUUAAAGUUC
Molecule: long non-coding RNA, 275 nt
Filed under: Lathyrus oleraceus (garden pea)
Lineage: Eukaryota; Viridiplantae; Streptophyta; Magnoliopsida; Fabales; Fabaceae
Description: Pisum sativum (pea) long non-coding RNA (PSAT_LNC036920)
Source: RNAcentral